AUCAAUGUCUCCACAUCAGGGUGUCCAGCCUUUUUGAAUGUGGGGCCUGAACAUGAACUUUUUAUCACCCAGCGGGCUGGCGAGCCACAUUGAAAGACUUCACAGGAAGCGGUA
Molecule: long non-coding RNA, 114 nt
Organism: Gavialis gangeticus (Gharial)
Lineage: Eukaryota; Metazoa; Chordata; Crocodylia; Gavialidae
Exons: 3
Source: RefSeq, a predicted model, not a curated record